GAUGAACGCUGGCGGCGUGCCUAAUACAUGCAAGUCGAGCGAACAGACGAGGAGCUUGCUCCUCUGACGUUAGCGGCGGACGGGUGAAUAACACGUGUAUAACCUACCUAUAAGACUGGGAUAACUUCGGGAAACCGGAUCAAAUCCCGGAUAAUAUCUUGAACCGCAUGGUUGAAUGGUAAGAGACGGCUUUGCUGGAACUACUAGAUGGAUCCGCGCCGCAUUAGCUAGUUGGUGAGGUAACGGCCUACCAAGGCGAGGAUGCGUAGCCGACCUGAGAGGCUGAUCGGCGACACUGGAACUGAGACGCGGUCCAGGCUCCUACGGGAGGCGGCAGUCGGGAAUCGUACGCAAUGGGCGAAAGCUUGGCGGAGCAACGCGGCGUGAGUGAUGAAGGUGUUCGGAUCGUAAAGCUCUGUUAUUAGGGAAGAACAAAUGUGUAAGUAACUAUGCACGUCUUGACGGUACCUAAUCAGAAAGCCACGGCUAACUACGUG
This 497-nucleotide ribosomal RNA is filed under the name uncultured bacterium. Its description in RNAcentral is "partial 16S ribosomal RNA". It matches the Rfam family "Bacterial small subunit ribosomal RNA", at positions 28 to 507 of the family's 1533-position model. The record is from RNAcentral.